UACGUAGGGUGCGAGCGUUAAUCGGAAUUACUGGGCGUAAAGCGUACGCAGGCGGCUGCGCAAGACAGAUGGUAAAUCCCCGGGCCUAACCUGGGAACUGCAUUUGUGACUACGCAGCUCGAGUCCGUCAGAGGUGGGUGGAAGUCCACGUGUAGCAGUGAAAUGCGUAGAGAUGUGGAGGAACACCGAUGGCGAAGGCAGCCCCCUGGGAUGAGACUGACGCUCAGGUACGAAAGCGUGGGGAGCAAACAGG
This 253-nucleotide ribosomal RNA is filed under the name uncultured bacterium. RNAcentral's name for it is "partial 16S ribosomal RNA". It matches the Rfam family "Bacterial small subunit ribosomal RNA", at positions 524 to 776 of the family's 1533-position model. The record is from RNAcentral.